GCUGAACGCUGGCGGCGUGCCUAAUACAUGCAAGUCGAGCGAAUAGAUCAGGAGCUUGCUCCUUUGACGUCAGCGGCGGAAGGGUGAGUAACAUGUGGAUAACCUACCUAUAUGUUUGGGAUAAUCUCGGGAAACAGGAGCUAAUACCGGUCAAUAUCUUCAACCGCACGGUUCAUUAGUGAAAGUUGGUUCUGGUGACACUUAUAGAUGGAUCCGCGCCGCAUCAGCUAGUUGGUGAGGCAACGUCUUACCAAGGCAACGAUGCGUAGCCGACCUGAGAGGGUGAUCAGCCACGCUGGAGCUGAGGCACGGUCCAGACUCCUGCGGGAGACAGCAGUAGGGAAUCUUCCGCAGUGGACGAGGGCCUGACCAAGCGACGCCGCCUGGGUAAUGAAGGUCUUCGGAUCGUAAAACUCUGUUAUUGGGAAAUGGCGAGUGUGUAAGUAGCUAUGCGCGUCUUGAGGGUACCUAAUCAGGAAACCACGGCAGUCUACGGG
This 497-nucleotide ribosomal RNA is filed under the name uncultured bacterium. RNAcentral describes it as "partial 16S ribosomal RNA". It matches the Rfam family "Bacterial small subunit ribosomal RNA", at positions 28 to 507 of the family's 1533-position model. The record is from RNAcentral.